Molecule: ribosomal RNA, 120 nt
Filed under: Scophthalmus maximus (turbot)
Lineage: Eukaryota; Metazoa; Chordata; Actinopteri; Pleuronectiformes; Scophthalmidae
Source: RNAcentral
GCUUACGGCCACACCGCCUGGUUCAUGCCCGAUCUCGUUUGAUCUCGGAAGCUAAGAUAGGGUGGGCCUGGUUAGUACUUGGAUGGGGAGACCGCCUGGGAAUACCAGGUGUUGUAAGAU